GCAGAGCUCAGUGGUGGCGCAGAAAGUGUUCACUUCUUCUGUUUCGGGCUGUACGCUGUGGUUCUGCGCCUCCAGGGCUUUGCUGCCUGGCGAGCGUCCUCCCUGUACCACAGGAUCCUUGCCCGACUACAAACCCGAGGCUUCUAUUAGGAUAGUCUGGAUUCGCCAUAGGGGUUUCUCCUAGCGCGGAUUGUGUGUUUGCGUUGGCGAUGCUCAUAGAAGAAAGGCGCAGAGCUGUACGAGGAGGCGGGAUGCACGGGUCAGAGCCCUCGGUGGCCUCCGCCCGCUGCUCUUGGCGCCGGUCCGCUCCUGGAGAUAGCGCGGCAGCCGCCUGGGAGGCGAAGCGCGUAAUCUCCGCGCUACCCACGCGGGGCCGCGGCGUGGUGGCCGCACUUUGGCUUUGGGCGCUGGAUGGACAGUGGGGUAAAGGGUUGGGGUUCCCCUAACGUGGAUUACUUGGUGCUUAUCAACUGGAUUUAGAAGACUCUCGACCUGGUCUCCAUCAUCCGUGGGUUGUCUUUCCAUCUCCCAGCCGCUCUUUCACCUGGAGAUGAGACUCAGUUCCGCUUCUGGACCCCUGACUCCUCCUCAGGGCCUUCUUUGGAAUCAUGGCAUGAUGACGUCCCUCGUCCUCAUCUCUUUGCCCUCAUACCCUCAUAUGAUCCUCUAUUAGACACGCCGAGGAGACUGACCUGCUUAUCCAUGCUACUUAUCAGGAACUGUGGAACCAUGGAGAACAUGACCCUGGCCCUCCCUUCAGGAUCUGCCUGAGAUCUGGCUGCCUCUUGAGACACUAGAGCCCUGGAUUCAAUUGCGGAACAUUAUGUUGGAGAAUAUAAACACUUCUAGACUGUGCCGGCAUUUGGGAAGGAAUAGUCUGUUUUGACUUGAAUGAACAAAGACAUACGUCUCUGGGCCUGGGGAAGGCUUACCAGCUCAGCUCAUCUACUGUCUGGUGGCAAACAUGUCCUGGGUACUGCCACUACCCAGGACACUCUUCCUCACUCUGUCCCUGUCCAGUUACCGCACCCUUCCCUGUCUGACCCCGCCUCCUGUGCCCACUCGCCUCUGGACCCAGAGAUUCUUCUUGUUUGCUCUAUCAUCCUUGAGCCGGAUACAGGGUGAAUAGUUAACCACACUUGGGUUGAAUGGGAUCUUGAUUCUUAUUUCUGUUCCUUGGAAAGAGGGGUCAGACUCGGUGCGUGGCACCCGGCCUGGAAGCAGCACAAGACUCCAGAGUGAUACAUGAUCUGCCUGGAUGGUCCCAGGGGCUCUUUGGAGGUCAGAGCAAGAGGAGCAGCCUGAGCAGGGGGGCUGAGGAGGGCCGGCACUGGAUCACACGCAGGCGUAUGUCUGGAUAGGCAGAGAGGAACCCACUUUUCAUUCCCUCUUCUGUGACACAAAUGCAAGGAACUUUGAAGACACUCUUCGGAGGUUGCAAUCGGAGAUCAGCUUAUCCAAGGGCUUCAUGUCUGAGCUCUGUUGGUCGUGCCUCCUGAGGACCUCUUUCCUCUACUGUAUGCUGAUGACACACCCAUCCGAUGGGAGCUGGAGCCUUGUCUGGUCCUUUCCUCUAUGACCCCACGUGUACAGUUGGAAAUCCUUCCUAAUCAUGCCUUGAUUCCCCCUUUUCGACUACACUCAAAGAUGUUUGAGCUGUUUUAUUUGCAAAAUGGAUGGACAGUUUGUUUAUAUAAAACAAUCCCAGCUUCCUUGUGCUCUAUCUGGUGUGUUUGUAUGGCUCUUCAGUGACUUUAAAGUGGAGCAUUGACCUUGGCCUCUUUGAUUCUCCAUGGUGGAAUAGAGAAGACCUCUUGAGGAUGCUUAAUGUUGCUGAGAUCUUAAGAAGGCUUGCAGACUUCCUCUUCCUCCCUCCUUCUCCCACCUCCUCCUUCCCUAAGCAGCCUCUGCAUUGUAUAAAUUCCUUUAUAUAAA
This 1935-nucleotide long non-coding RNA is filed under the name Mus musculus (house mouse). RNAcentral describes it as "RIKEN cDNA 2610035D17 gene". The record is from RNAcentral. Lineage: Eukaryota; Metazoa; Chordata; Mammalia; Rodentia; Muridae.